UUCGUGGACUGAUACCAGCUGGGUCACGUAACAGGGAACCUCCAGGGGCCUGUGGGGGAAAUCCUUUAGGCCCUGCAGGAUUAGGCUCCUGAAGGAUUGGAUGAAGAAUUCGAUUGAGCCAAACAAAUCAUUCGGAUCAUUAGGUAGAAGAAAAGCAACUUUCUCUAAGUGGGGAGAUUUGAAAAAGAUGCCAUCUGAGAGGGAGAUGGAGAGGCAAAAAGAAGACAACAUGACAUUUGUAGUGAUUACGAUGAUGGAGUCUCCUGAAAAAAACAAGGACACACACCUUGGCGAGAUGUAUGCACAGAAGCAAAGACCUGAGGUUUGUCCUCAUACGACGGCGGCUUUUGUAAGGAAUGACCUAUGGGCCUGGGGCCUGAGGUCUGAGAACCCACGCUGAGGAACUGAUCAAAAUCCCAGUGUUGGUUUCACCCAGUGAGCGACACUCACACUCUCUCAUCCCUGCCAGCCAUGCUCCACUGGAGCAAGAAAUGCAAUAAUCCUGGCUUUGCCACCUGUCUGCUGUGUGACCUUGGGCAAGACACUUCCCUCCUCUCUGCCCUGGUUACCUCACCUGUAAAAUGGGGAUUAAGACUGAGCCCCAUGUGGAUAGGGACUGUGUCCAACCCGAUUUACUUGUAACCACCCCAGUGCUUAGUAGAGUGCCUGGCACAUAGUAAGCACUUAACAAAUACCUUAAUUCUUAUUAUUACAGUGUUUUGGGGGCAAUAGAAGUGGGGUUUGGUUGGGAUUUAGGACUGAAAACCCCUGCUUAUGGCACAGUCAUGUAGAAUUUUUGCAAGCUGCUACUUCCCAGGCAGCUACGAAAUACUGUUACCACUUAAGAAAGAGAGCAGAAAUGGCAAAAUCACCACUGCG
This 879-nucleotide long non-coding RNA is filed under the name Ornithorhynchus anatinus (platypus). RNAcentral describes it as "lncRNA (ENSOANG00000048491.1)". The record is from RNAcentral. Lineage: Eukaryota; Metazoa; Chordata; Mammalia; Monotremata; Ornithorhynchidae.